RNAcentral lists this ribosomal RNA (489 nucleotides) under Triticum aestivum (bread wheat). RNAcentral's name for it is "partial small subunit ribosomal RNA". The record is from RNAcentral. Lineage: Eukaryota; Viridiplantae; Streptophyta; Magnoliopsida; Poales; Poaceae.
AUGCCACUCUUCUCCUCCAAAUUCGCGCCGCUGAUCCCCCGCCUCCGCCGCCUCUCCACGGCGGCGGCGACCGCCGCCGGCGAGGACCCGAAGCUGUCGCGCAUCGCGGACGAGCUCCUGGCGCUCUCCUCGGCCGAGCUGGAUGACUACUCGGCCCUCAUGCGCCUCAAGCUACGCCUCUCGCUCACCUCCAACCCAGCUGCCGGAUUAGGUCCUGGCGCAGCCGGGGAUGCGGCCUCCGGGUCGGCGGGGGCCGAGGAGGCCGCGGCGGUGAAGACGGCGUUCGACGUCAAGAUCGAGAAGUACGACGCGGCGGCCAAGAUCAAGAUCAUCAAGGAGGUGCGCGCGAUGACGGACCUGGGGCUCAAGGAGGCCAAGGAGCUGGUGGAGAAGGCGCCGGUCGUGGUGCGCGCGGGGCUGCCCAAGGAGGAGGCCGAGGCUCUCGCCGCCAAGCUCAAGGCCGCCGGAGCUGCCGUUGCGCUCGAGUGA